UACGUAGGGUGCAAGCGUUGUCCGGAAUUAUUGGGCGUAAAGAGCUCGUAGGCGGUUUGUCGCGUCGAAUGUGAAAACCCGGGGCUCAACCCCGGGCCUGCAUUCGAUACGGGCAGACUAGAGUUCGGUAGGGGUGUCUGGAAUUCCUGGUGUAGCGGUGAAAUGCGCAGAUAUCAGGAGGAACACCGGUGGCGAAGGCGGGUCUCUGGGCCGAUACUGACGCUGAGGAGCGAAAGCGUGGGGAGCGAACAGG
RNAcentral lists this ribosomal RNA (253 nucleotides) under uncultured bacterium. RNAcentral describes it as "partial 16S ribosomal RNA". It matches the Rfam family "Bacterial small subunit ribosomal RNA", at positions 524 to 776 of the family's 1533-position model. The record is from RNAcentral.